RNAcentral lists this ribosomal RNA (257 nucleotides) under uncultured eukaryote. Its description in RNAcentral is "partial 18S rRNA". It matches the Rfam family "Eukaryotic small subunit ribosomal RNA", at positions 324 to 584 of the family's 1831-position model. The record is from RNAcentral.
GAUGGUAGUGUAUUGGACUACCAUGGCUUUAACGGGUAACGGAGGAUUAGGGUUCGAUUCCGGAGAGGGAGCCUGAGAAACGGCUACCACAUCUAAGGAAGGCAGCAGGCGCGUAAAUUACCCAAUCGCGACUCGCGGAGGUAGUGACAAGAAAUAACGGACCGAAGCCUAUGUUUCGGGAUUGCAAUGAGUAGAAUUUAAACCCCUUUACGAGGAUCAAUUGGAGGGCAAGUCUGGUGCCAGCAGCCGCGGUAAUA